Non-coding RNA from Nemania abortiva, 106 nucleotides. NCBI's taxonomy places the organism in Eukaryota, Fungi, Ascomycota, Sordariomycetes, Xylariales, Xylariaceae. The record is from the annotation of a GenBank genome assembly.
GGCCUCGUGGCCCAAUGGCAAGGCGUCUGACUACGAUAGACUUCAAUCAGCAAUUGAACUUUCUACGAUAAUCAGGAGAUUCUGGGUUCGACCCCCAGCGAGGUCA